CUGGCCCUACGGGAGGCAGCAGUGAGGAAUAUUGGUCAAUGGGCGGGAGCCUGAACCAGCCAUGCCGCGUGAAGGCGAGUGCCCUACGGGCGUUAAACUUCUUUUGUGCGGGAGCAAUAAGGGCCACGUGUGGCCCGAUGAGAGUACCGCACGAAUAAGCAUCGGCUAACUCCGUGCCAGCAGCCGCGGUAAUACGGAGGAUGCGAGCGUUAUCCGGAUUUAUUGGGUUUAAAGGGUGCGUAGGCGGUCCGUUAAGUCAGCGGUAAAAUUGCGGGGCUCAACCCCGUCGAGCCGUUGAAACUGGG
RNAcentral lists this ribosomal RNA (305 nucleotides) under uncultured bacterium. RNAcentral describes it as "bacterial SSU rRNA". It matches the Rfam family "Bacterial small subunit ribosomal RNA", at positions 332 to 637 of the family's 1533-position model. The record is from RNAcentral.